Molecule: ribosomal RNA, 301 nt
Filed under: uncultured bacterium
Lineage: Bacteria
Description: partial 16S ribosomal RNA
Rfam family: Bacterial small subunit ribosomal RNA
Source: RNAcentral
CAGCCGCCACGGUAAUACGUAGGUCCCGAGCGUUGUCCGGAUUUAUUGGGCGUAAAGCGAGCGCAGGCGGUUAGAUAAGUCUGAAGUUAAAGGCUGUGGCUUAACCAUAGUACGCUUUGGAAACUGUUUAACUUGAGUGCAAGAGGGGAGAGUGGAAUUCCAUGUGUAGCGGUGAAAUGCGUAGAUAUAUGGAGGAACACCGGUGGCGAAAGCGGCUCUCUGGCUUGUAACUGACGCUGAGGCUCGAAAGCGUGGGGAGCAAACAGGAUUAGAUACCCGGGUAGUCCCUGUCUCUUAUACA